Long non-coding RNA from Episyrphus balteatus (marmalade hoverfly), 1493 nucleotides. RefSeq lists it as uncharacterized. The transcript is spliced from 3 exons. Lineage: Eukaryota; Metazoa; Arthropoda; Insecta; Diptera; Syrphidae. The record is from RefSeq and is a predicted model, not a curated record.
UGGCGGUGAGCAAGAUAUCUCUGAUCCAAGUCACUUAAAAUUAAAAAAACCAAAAGAUUAAUUUUCAGGAUAGACGAAUACAGGUAAUGAACGAAGGAAUAGUCAAAAUUUUGAUUUUUGACAAAAUGGCGGCUUCUCAAAGAAAAAAAUCGUCGUUUUUCACGAAACAACGGUAACGUAUAUUUUUUUACAACUGAGUCGUUAUAAUUGAAAGUGGUAGGUAUAAGUCACAUUUCCAAAAAAAAAAUGUUAAUGUUUUUAAUCAAAAAUAACGUACAUAAUUUUAAAAAAGAGGAAAAGGAGGAACCAAAAUAUCAAAAAGAGGGAUUUUUUGACAAUUUUUAAAAAGUGGAGGGAAAGUGGAUUGGGUGAACAAAAAAGAGGAAAAACGCGUCUUUAGAGGCGCAAAGGUAGCCCUGAUAUCCACAACUUUUCGAAUCUUUUAUCGGGAUUAGCGGGACAUUAAAUUAACUAGCAGGAGAAAAUAUACUGGCGGGACACUUGCGGAACAAAUACCGUUUUCCGGACAGUCUUGCGCAUGGCGGGACGUCAGGCAUCCCUAUUAUCCACUUUGUUGAAUACAUGUGUUCAAAAAAAUCCAUUCAAACGGUAGUUUUUCUAAAAACUUCCAUAAACAUACUAUCGGCAGUUCGGCAUUGAAUUAUUUGUAGGUUUACUGUGGUAAUACUUCGAUUAGCAACUAUGGUUGGUACCUAUAAAUUCCACAAUAUUUAAAAAUAUCAUAUCGAAUAUCUACAAAACUGUCUACCACAGGAUGGUUCAAACAAUCAAUCAUUGACUUCGCAGGCUAUGUGGCAAUAAAAUGUUCCUUUGCAGCAAAGCGCAAUACAUUUAGUAUAUAUUUAAAGCACUCAGUAGGAAUUGAGAUGUCAAAAAAUUAAUUAAUCAAAACAAGAACCCCAUAAUUUUGACUGUCUAUACAAAAGUAAUAAUUAUUGUAGUACAUGACAAUAACGUUUUGUGUGUCUAUCAAAUGAUCAGACAUUCCGACAGAAUGCAUUAACUUAAUGUGGAAUCUCUUGAAAUAACACCUCUCAUGACCCUAAAGGAUAAUAAAAGUAUAUUAUUUACACCUGCAUGACGGAUUGUGAGUUCAUUAUUUAUCUCGGUUCGCAGGGGCAAAUAAAGAAUGCUCAAUUAUAAUAUACUUCAAGGAGAGUGUAGGCUGCAUGCAUAAGCAUUAUGCAUAUCGGCAGUCGACACUAAACAUUGAACAUUUCCAGCAGGUAUCUACAAUCUACAUAUUACCUGUACAUAGUCGAGUCUGCUGCUCUCGACUUCAUUUCUCAUUUUCAGAAAAGUUUGAUCUUACACACAUUCUGGCGCACAUGUGCUGAUGGGAUAAAGGAUCACCCACCAAAAGCAUCCGUAGUGAAUAUAAUACAUGACAGAGAAUUUUGAAGCUUGAAUCUUGAGAAACGAACGUUGCUAUUCCAGAAUUCCAAAAAAGAAUUGCCGUUAUCUUCUUAUUU